UUACCGAGUUUACAACUCCCAAACCCCUGUGAACAUACCACUUGUUGCCUCGGCGGAUCAGCCCGCUCCCGGUAAAACGGGACGGCCCGCCAGAGGACCCCUAAACUCUGUUUCUAUAUGUAACUUCUGAGUAAAACCAUAAAUAAAUCAAAACUUUCAACAACGGAUCUCUUGGUUCUGGCAUCGAUGAAGAACGCAGCAAAAUGCGAUAAGUAAUGUGAAUUGCAGAAUUCAGUGAAUCAUCGAAUCUUUGAACGCACAUUGCGCCCGCCAGUAUUCUGGCGGGCAUGCCUGUUCGAGCGUCAUUUCAACCCUCAAGCACAGCUUGGUGUUGGGACUCGCGUUAAUUCGCGUUCCUCAAAUUGAUUGGCGGUCACGUCGAGCUUCCAUAGCGUAGUAGUAAAACCCUCGUUACUGGUAAUCGUCGCGGCCACGCCGUUAAACCCCAACUUCUGAAUGUGACCUCGGAUCAGGUAGCAAGCCCCGCGG
Molecule: ribosomal RNA, 489 nt
Filed under: Fusarium oxysporum
Lineage: Eukaryota; Fungi; Ascomycota; Sordariomycetes; Hypocreales; Nectriaceae
Description: eukaryotic LSU rRNA
Rfam family: 5.8S ribosomal RNA (bases 152-305)
Source: RNAcentral